RNAcentral lists this ribosomal RNA (391 nucleotides) under uncultured bacterium. RNAcentral's name for it is "bacterial SSU rRNA". It matches the Rfam family "Bacterial small subunit ribosomal RNA", at positions 28 to 420 of the family's 1533-position model. The record is from RNAcentral.
GACGAACGCUGGCGGCGUGCUUAACACAUGCAAGUCGAGCGGUAAGGCCCUUUCGGGGGUACACGAGCGGCGAACGGGUGAGUAACACGUGGGUGACCUGCCCUUAGCUCUGGGAUAAGCCUGGGAAACUGGGUCUAAUACCGGAUAUGACUCCAUGACGCAUGCUGUGGGGUGGAAAGCCUUGUGCGGCUAGGGAUGGGCCCGCGGCCUAUCGGCUUGUUGGUGGGGUGAUGGCCUACCAAGGCGACGACGGGUAGCCGGCCUGAGAGGGCGACCGGCCACACUGGGACUGAGACACGGCCCAGACUCCUACGGGAGGCAGCAGUGGGGAAUCUUGCGCAAUGGGCGAAAGCCUGACGCAGCGACGCCGCGUGAGGGAUGACGGCCUCGG